This 1483-nucleotide ribosomal RNA is filed under the name Leuconostoc pseudomesenteroides. RNAcentral's name for it is "bacterial SSU rRNA". It matches the Rfam family "Bacterial small subunit ribosomal RNA". Lineage: Bacteria; Bacillati; Bacillota; Bacilli; Lactobacillales; Lactobacillaceae. The record is from RNAcentral.
GAAUACCCCAGCCUAUCAUGUCAGUCGACGCACAGCGAGGUGCUUGCACCUUUCAAGUGAGUGGCGAACGGGUGAGUAACACGUGGACAACCUGCCUCAAGGCUGGGGAUAACAUUUGGAAACAGAUGCUAAUACCGAAUGAAACUUAGUGUCGCAUGACACAAAGUUAAAAGGCGCUUUGGCGUCACCUAGAGAUGGAUCCGCGGUGCAUUAGUUAGUUGGUGGGGUAAAGGCCUACCAAGACAAUGAUGCAUAGCCGAGUUGAGAGACUGAUCGGCCACAUUGGGACUGAGACACGGCCCAAACUCCUACGGGAGGCUGCAGUAGGGAAUCUUCCACAAUGGGCGAAAGCCUGAUGGAGCAACGCCGCGUGUGUGAUGAAGGCUUUCGGGUCGUAAAGCACUGUUGUAUGGGAAGAACAGCUAGAAUAGGGAAUGAUUUUAGUUUGACGGUACCAUACCAGAAAGGGACGGCUAAAUACGUGCCAGCAGCCGCGGUAAUACGUAUGUCCCGAGCGUUAUCCGGAUUUAUUGGGCGUAAAGCGAGCGCAGACGGUUGAUUAAGUCUGAUGUGAAAGCCCGGAGCUCAACUCCGGAAUGGCAUUGGAAACUGGUUAACUUGAGUGCAGUAGAGGUAAGUGGAACUCCAUGUGUAGCGGUGGAAUGCGUAGAUAUAUGGAAGAACACCAGUGGCGAAGGCGGCUUACUGGACUGUAACUGACGUUGAGGCUCGAAAGUGUGGGUAGCAAACAGGAUUAGAUACCUGGUAGUCCACACCGUAAACGAUGAACACUAGGUGUUAGGAGGUUUCCGCCUCUUAGUGCCGAAGCUAACGCAUUAAGUGUUCCGCCUGGGGAGUACGACCGCAAGGUUGAAACUCAAAGGAAUUGACGGGGACCCGCACAAGCGGUGGAGCAUGUGGUUUAAUUCGAAGCAACGCGAAGAACCUUACCAGGUCUUGACAUCCUUUGAAGCUUUUAGAGAUAGAAGUGUUCUCUUCGGAGACAAAGUGACAGGUGGUGCAUGGUCGUCGUCAGCUCGUGUCGUGAGAUGUUGGGUUAAGUCCCGCAACGAGCGCAACCCUUAUUGUUAGUUGCCAGCAUUCAGAUGGGCACUCUAGCGAGACUGCCGGUGACAAACCGGAGGAAGGCGGGGACGACGUCAGAUCAUCAUGCCCCUUAUGACCUGGGCUACACACGUGCUACAAUGGCGUAUACAACGAGUUGCCAACCCGCGAGGGUGAGCUAAUCUCUUAAAGUACGUCUCAGUUCGGAUUGUAGUCUGCAACUCGACUACAUGAAGUCGGAAUCGCUAGUAAUCGCGGAUCAGCACGCCGCGGUGAAUACGUUCCCGGGUCUUGUACACACCGCCCGUCACACCAUGGGAGUUUGUAAUGCCCAAAGCCGGUGGCCUAACCUUUUAGGAAGGAGCCGUCUAAGGCAGGACAGAUGACUGGGGUGUAGACGUAAUACACGUUGGCAUGC